AUGGAUGGAGCAAGGCGCUCCACAGAUGCCUCCGACGAGCAAGAGCCGAAGCGUCCGUGCCUUGCAGUUGCAGGCGGCCGCAAUGGUGGUGCAGGUGGGGCCGGCGGCAGUGAUGCGGGUGACGACGACAGCCACGGCGAUGCGGGUGGGGACGGCGGUGAUGCGGGUGGGGGCGGCGGCGUUGGCCAUGCCGCCGACGACCCGCCGCCGACGCUGAGCACCUUGGGGGACGACGUCCUCCGCGCCAUCCUGUCGCGCCUCGAGUCGUCCCGGCAGACGGUGCGGAUGUGCGUGCUGUCCAGGAGUUGGAGGCACCUCUGGCGCUCCGUGCCGUCCAUCCACAUCGACCGGCGGGAGUUCGGUAGCGACCACGAGCUGCAGAGCUUCACCGACUUCCUCCUGGACCACCAUAACAACCUUGUGCUCCUGGAUGCGUUCCGGCUGCUGCUAAGCUCUCAAGAUCUCCGCCUACCGGCCAGCGAUUGGGUCCGUCGCGUCAUCAACCAAGAUGAUACACCGCCUCACCAGCUCAAAAGGUUGCACCUUUGCAACGUGCACCUGGACAUGGAUUUUGCGAGCCACAUCAGUGACGACAGGUGCCCCUCGCUGGAGGACGUGCGACUGGAAAACUGCAGUUACUUGACGGCCCGGUAUGAGAUCACCUCCUUCUCACUCAAGAAAUUGGUUGUGGAUGGUUUAUACAUGGUGCAAGAUGACGAAAGUGAUGAUGAUGAGGAUGAGAUUUUCAAGUUGAUUAUAAGGGCUCCUGCUCUUGUUUCUCUCCGCUUGGCCGGAGAGCUUGAUCACAUUGUUGAUAUCAAUGAACCACAUACCAUGCCGUCUCUUGUCGAUGCGUCGGUUCAUCUGCCCGUGAUGACUGACGAGGAGCUCAACAACGUUGAAGAAAACGAUGCCACUGCGCACCAAUCGGUUCUUGGCGUGCUGCUUAAUGUGACAACUUUGACCCUGUCGCAUUGCAGGUUGCUGUUCCAACCUGAGGAUUCUGUGGAACUUCAGCUUCUUGUAUUCCAGAACCUAAGAACCUUGUUCCUGGACGAGUGUUACAUUGUUGGCGAGGACUUCGUGGGGCUGAAGCCUUACCUGCAGAAGUCACCUAACCUGGAGAAGCUCAUUUUGCGCUGUAGCAAGGUGCAACCAGGGUACUCUUUGAACUGGUAUUUCGGAGACGACCUGGUGGAUUUCAUGUGCGAGAACCUUAUGCUUACUCAAAUUAUAUACCAGCAUGAUGAUGAUGCUGCCCCCCUAUUGGUCGCUUUUUUGCUGAGCAUUUCAAGGAGCCUGCCGAACAACAAGAUUGAACUCAUUAGAGUCGAAUAG
Molecule: ribosomal RNA, 1338 nt
Filed under: Triticum aestivum (bread wheat)
Lineage: Eukaryota; Viridiplantae; Streptophyta; Magnoliopsida; Poales; Poaceae
Description: partial small subunit ribosomal RNA
Source: RNAcentral